UACGUAGGGUGCAAGCGUUAAUCGGAAUUACUGGGCGUAAAGCGUGCGCAGGCGGUUUUGUAAGUCUGUCGUGAAAUCCCCGGGCUCAACCUGGGAAUUGCGAUGGAGACUGCAAGGCUAGAAUCUGGCAGAGGGGGGGUAGAAUUCCACCGUGUAGCAGUGAAAUGCGUAGAGAUGUGGAGGAACACCGUGGCGAAGGCGCCGGCCCU
Molecule: ribosomal RNA, 209 nt
Filed under: uncultured bacterium
Lineage: Bacteria
Description: partial 16S ribosomal RNA
Rfam family: Bacterial small subunit ribosomal RNA
Source: RNAcentral